Long non-coding RNA from Xenopus tropicalis (tropical clawed frog), 1060 nucleotides. RefSeq lists it as uncharacterized. The transcript is spliced from 2 exons. The record is from RefSeq and is a predicted model, not a curated record. Lineage: Eukaryota; Metazoa; Chordata; Amphibia; Anura; Pipidae.
UGCUCCCUACAGUGUGGAUGGUGAGUCGCGGUAUCCGGCAGGAGGGCUGGUGUGACGUACUUAAGGCUUUUCAGCUCACAGGGAAAUUAGUUUAAUAACCUGACGUAUUGGCGUUAAGAUCUCCUACAACACUUUGAAAGGUUUAUAUCUCAAAUCGCUCUAUGAUAUUGGAGAACCUAUCACUGGCUUUCAGCUUUUUCUCAACACUUUAAAAAUGCACUGUUAUAUUCAGUAAUUUUGGGACUGUGAGGUUAUGGACUGUAUUGUCAAAUACUUUUGUAGUUCAACUCCUUCACCAUAAGAUGGCACCAUAACACCAAAUAAUCUUGGAAAGGUGAUGUUUUAUUACUGUGCAGCUAAAUAUUUCUCUUUACAAGUAUUUUCCACCACAUUACUGUGCCACUUAACUUUCUCCUGGAUUACAAUUUCAUUUAUCUUUAAUGAUCAAAGAAAAAAGCAAAACCUCUCCCUUCCUCUAUCCACAAAACCAAUUGUCGCUUUCUUGAAGCAACAAAUUGGUUGUUUGAUACAAUCUGCACACAACUCGGAUGGGGCGGAAACGGAAUCUGCAAUUCCCACUUCCCAAACUACUCAAACAAGUCCUCUAACUUUGGACCAAUCUGACAGUGUUCUAGUGGUGUUCCAGUCAUUAAUGGACAAGGCUACUGCACAAAUCACUACUGUUUCUGAGAAAGAUAAAGAAUUGGCAAGACACACAGGUACACUCGAAUCAAGGAUGGACAAUACGAAAAUGGUUUUAGAGGCCCAGGAAAUGGACUUAAUUAAGUAAUUGAAUUAAACAACAGGUUCUGAACCUCCAAUUGAAAUUAGAAUACCUGGAAAACAGGUUUUGUCGAGAUAAGAAAACGAGGAAUUCCAGAAUCUUAUAAGCACUUGGAGUCAGAAUUGCAAGAAUGCUUUACCAUUUACCAUCUCAGUUUCUGCACAUCGAUCAGAUCCCCAGAUCUCACAAGAUCUGCUAUCACUGGGGUUUCCCUUGAAAUUGAUAUUUACACGUAAUGGCAAGUCAUUUUCCCACCCUACACCGAAUAAGACCAAG